RNAcentral lists this ribosomal RNA (372 nucleotides) under uncultured organism. Its description in RNAcentral is "bacterial SSU rRNA". It matches the Rfam family "Bacterial small subunit ribosomal RNA", at positions 526 to 896 of the family's 1533-position model. The record is from RNAcentral.
CGUAGGGUGCGAGCGUUAAUCGGAAUUACUGGGCGUAAAGUGUGCGCAGGCGGCUCCGCAAGUCGAGUGUGAAAUCCCCGAGCUUAACUUGGGAAUUGCGCUCGAAACUACGGAACUGGAGUGUGGCAGAGGAAGGUGGAAUUCCACGUGUAGCGGUGAAAUGCGUAGAGAUGUGGAGGAACACCGAUGGCGAAGGCAGCCUUCUGGGCCAACACUGACGUUCAUGCACGAAAGCGUGGGGAGCAAACAGGAUUAGAUACCCUGGUAGUCCACGCCCUAAACGAUGAUGACUAGUUGUUGGAGGAGUUAAAUCCUUUAGUAACGCAGCUAACGCGUGAAGUCAUCCGCCUGGGGAGUACGGUCGCAAGAUUA